UACCAGAGGUAGGCUGAUUAUAAUGAGGUCUCGUCCAGUUCCCCAAGGGGAUCGUCCGUAACCGCAUAUCACCCUACGGCCAUUCAGCUAUCGGCAAGAUUCCUUACACCAUAGCUUGAGUAGGCUGGUCUACUGUGGCAUGUUUUGCAAAGGCUUUUGGAGGGUUUUAGGUGUCCGGCGACCCCAUCCGUAAAGCCACAUUGGCUUCCCCGACAGGGCCUCCAGUCCCCUGGCCGGCCUCCUAUCCGCCACCUGGGGACGCACCCGAUAGGUAGACCAACCCACGGGAGCUAUUAUAUGUUUUUUUCGAUGUAUAUGUUAUAUUGUCCCCACUAGAUUCAGGUGUAUAAGAAACGUCCACAUCGACAUGUCAACAACUUUUGAUCAUGAUAAUUUUUUCAUUUUGAGCUCGAUUUCAAUAUUUUGUCAAAAAAUUGAAGGACAUUCAUACCAGGACAUUGUAUGUUUCAAUCAUCUGGGCUCGAAACACUCUGUGAUGAAACAUUCUAUGAUGAAAUAUCGCUUUUGGAUGACACUCAAAUUCAUCAUGUAUGCGAUCUUGGUUCAUGACCGAAAUACCGGUUUUUCAUUCAUUCUGAUAUCACGAUUUAUUUCAAAUUUAUGAAUUAUUGAAUAGAGUAUUGCUUUUCCCUGCGUGUUUCUUUAUUCUUCACAAAAAUUAUGGAAAAAUUGAAAACCAAAGGUUAACAUGGAUAUCGAACAUGAGUUGCCUCCUUUAGCUUGGACGAUAGCUUCCAUUCUCCAAGGCAUUCCACGAAUUAACACUCGAAUGAACUCCUGGAACACGUUAUUCUACUUCACUUCUCUCACAUGUACCCAGAUAGUCCUAGACAUAUGCAUAUGAUCUGUAUGUUUAAAAUCUGUUUUUCCGUUAACCAGAUGUCGCACCUCUAUGAACGACAACCCUCACAAGUCGAAACUUGUGCGAGCAAAGGACUAACGAGGUCUUACCUUUCAAUGUGUGAUUCCUAACACGAAAAACCAGAGAAAAUAUAAUGCUUCAUUCAAUAAAAUUAUUGGAUUUGAAACUGAUCAUGAUAUCAGAAUGAAUACAGAAACUUGACAUAGGCGGAUGUCUUCAUUCAUGUCAUUCAAAAGCUGUCCAUCUCCUCAGGAUAUGUUUAACUUGUAUGAUAAAAACAUAACUUUGUUUUUCCUCGUAUAAUGUGUAUAACAUCAGGCCUUUCAAUUAAUCUAUUUCACGUGAAUAGAUUUGGGAUGCAUUUCACAUUUACCGAAAUUUUCAAAAUCGGUCUGAAAAUAAAAAGUUACUUAUGACUAAAAUUUUUGAAAGUGGCCGUUUUUAUGCACCUGGGUGCAUAAAUGUAUCAUGUUUCACACAAAAUCCUCCUCUAUAUAAAUUCAUAUAUUCAGGUUGCAUUUACAAAUGUUGCGCGUUUUUUCUCGAUCAAAAAAUCGGAUUGACAAAUAACUCCAGAAAACACAUUUGAUUUUUCAAAAUUAACUUCUAACGUAAGCUAAAAUUUUUGAUAAACUACAUACUAGGUGAUGAUUAUAUGAUGGAUGAACCACAUUUCUGAUGAGAGAGAUUAUAGCAUUCAUAAAAUUAGCGCCACCAUUAAGGACAAUAAACUCCUGCAUUAUAUAUAACCUAAUGCACAAUUUUGCGACAUGAUUAGAGGUUGCAAAUUGUUUUGGAAACCGGAACAUCGAAUAGAAUCGCCUAAUUGAAAUAGUAGUAAACACGUUAUUUAUGAUAAAUGCACAUUCACUUCAAUUUGGUACAAAAUAUCUAGUUACGUUAUAAUGUUUGCUUUCAUCUUGUGUAUAUGUGCCAUCCAAUUGAAAAUUUCAUCUAUUAUUAUUAUUAUUCCUUAGAGAAUAUACAUAUAAGCUGAAUGACAAAAAUUCAGAGCAAUUCAUGAGAUUGAAGCCACCUUUUGUAAUAUCAACAUGCAUUAAAACCUGUUUAACCAGAAAUGUAUUUGUUGAAAAAUUCGUAUUAGUAUUAUGGAGUUUGAUGAGUUCUAUAAAAUGAAUUGAGAAAAAGAGUAGCCUAAAAUAGAAUGCUGGAGCACACCUCAAGUAAUGUAUUUAUUGUGUUGGGUUUCACAAAUUGUUACCAAUUUUGAAAUAACAUUUUUGAUUAUCACCGUUAUCAUGUUCUUCUAAUAAAAAUUGGCCACAUCAAUAUGUUUAGUGCAUAAUGAUCACUGUAUAUUGAUUUAUUUUCAUUUGAAAAAACCAUGCAUAAACAUUUUUCUCUUAAAUUUAGAAAAAAAAACGCGAUAUUUUCAGUUAUUACAAUGAUUACUUCCAUCUAUGAAAAUGACUAUGAAUGUAACCCUUACAACUAUGACCAACCAUUCCUGGAAUUUGAUGAAGUUUAUAAAGCAAUAUAUCGUUAUAAAUACAUUUUAUAAAUACAGAAUACGUAAAAUUAUUCCAAUGAAAAUGAUGAAUGUAAAUAAAUUAUCAUCAACUGUUGUGCUAUUUGUGCAAAAAUGUUAGUAAGUGUAAUGAAUCAUUCAAAAACUAUCGGAAGAAUAAUAGUGAUAAUAUUAGUAUAUUUCCGAACAAAUCGAAAAUGAUAUCACAAAUUGCUUCUUGUUUUUCUUUUUCUUAAUUUAUUGUUUUGUAUAUUCAUCAGGGUUUAUAUUCACGAUUACCUAAGUUAUUUUGUUUUAUUUUCGAACCAUUAUACAUUUUAUGAUACAACAAUUGAUUUGUAUUUUGUAUUUUGUAUUGCAAUAUUAUUUAAAUGAAAUAUUUUUUCAUCACCCUAAUCAAACGCAAUUGACUGUAUCAAGGUAAAACAAGUCCUUUGUACAUAGAAAUGAAUAUUGAAAACCAUAUAUUUUAUUUCUGCAUCACAUAUUUGACUUCAUUGUCUUAUUUAUAAUGCACGUGAAAAUGAUAUUUGAUUCAAUAACUUUCAAGAAUUGGUACUCCACUUGAGUUGAAGCAAAAGCAUUGCAAGACAAUUAAUUUUUUUUUCACUCCAUAUUGGAUCAUAUAUCAUACAUCAUUGUAAGGCGUAUAUGUUUUACUUUUGAAGUCCAUUACUAAUAUCGAUUAUUAAUCAUGAUGUAGUUGACAGAUACUUCCGGGUUUAUUAGCCGUGGUCUGUAGGUUUUUAUACCUGAAGUUUCGUCUGCUAUUGCGGCAAACUUUAUCAAACUUCUUUCAUCCUCCGUCAAGCAUGUAGAACAACCAACAACUACAGAGUACUCAGUGAACUCAGGUGGUAGUCAAAUAUGGAUCCUCGGGGUUUUUAUCUGUAUUGAGACCAUUCUCUAUCGUACUUACGGAUUCGAAAAUUGACCCAACACCAUGUUUUUUGAGGACAGUAUCGAUUUGGUCCGUCACUCCGUUUAUGUAGAGCUGAAAAGUGUUUUCAUUGGCAGUUCGCUCGAGUGCUGUCGUGGAGUUUUUUUGCGUGGUUUGUACAGCUUGGUUGACCUUGGCCUCGUUAUAUCCAUUACCCAGAAAUACAAUCUUCAGAUGACACAUUUCCUUUCGUACCAAAGUCUUAAUAAUCCCUUUUUUCUGUAACAGUUGAUGAUAAUAGGCUUGUUCAUAUAUCGGUCCAUAUGAUGAAACAUUAAAAAUUGAAUAUAUACAAAAAAAAUAAGAAGAAUACUCUACUGAGCAAACACAAAAGAACUAUUACAGAAAUCACGUAGAACAAGAACAAAAUAUUAGAAAAAAACUUGGUUAACAGUUAACGAAGUAUUGAAAAUCCCUGGCUAUAGGGAAAUGAACGAAAUCUAAAACUGGCUAACGUGUCAGUAAUCCAACAGAAAUGGUCGAAAAAAUAAAAAAUCUCUAGUAUACAAUGGCAACUAUAAAAAUUAUCUCAUAGCAUAUACGUUCUCCUCUGAUUUAUAUGAUAAAUAAAUAUUUCGAACUAGAUCAUUUCCCUGAUGCUUUCAAGCUAUCAGUUGUCAUUCCCGUUCAUGAAGGAGGAGAAGAAAAAAUAUUACAAAUCACAGAAGAAUCUCACUCUGGAGUCAGAGGUGCAGCCUACAACUUGUUCAAAAGUUAUUUGAGUAACAGAAAACAGAAAGUAGAAAUCGGAAAUAUCACAAGCACCGGAAUAACAAUAACGUGUCGGGUACCUCAAGGGACGGUAUAGGGCCUGUGUUAUUUACAUUAUGUAUGGAAAACCUCUUUUUAUAGGAAUAAGAUGACCGAAUACUGCUUAAAGUUAGUAUCAUCUGAAAGUCAAAGCAGAAGAUGACUUGAAAAAU
This 4235-nucleotide long non-coding RNA is filed under the name Leptinotarsa decemlineata (Colorado potato beetle). RNAcentral's name for it is "uncharacterized LOC111509329". Lineage: Eukaryota; Metazoa; Arthropoda; Insecta; Coleoptera; Chrysomelidae. The record is from RNAcentral.